GUGGAGACUCAACUAGCUACUGGACUCUGCUGACACAGUACCCACUGCCUGCUUCUGCUGAGUAGGAGAAGAGAGACCAGCUCCCAGCUCAGACCCAGAAAAUGACGCUGGUAAUAUUGCACCUGUCUGAGUUUGCCCGGGAUGAUCAUAGAGACGGGGUUUCACCAUGUUGACCAGGAUGAUCUCGAUCUCU
Molecule: long non-coding RNA, 193 nt
Filed under: Callithrix jacchus (white-tufted-ear marmoset)
Lineage: Eukaryota; Metazoa; Chordata; Mammalia; Primates; Cebidae
Description: lncRNA (ENSCJAG00000084388.1)
Source: RNAcentral